Molecule: ribosomal RNA, 253 nt
Filed under: uncultured bacterium
Lineage: Bacteria
Description: partial 16S ribosomal RNA
Rfam family: Bacterial small subunit ribosomal RNA
Source: RNAcentral
UACGUAGGAGACGAGCGUUGUCCGGAGUUACUGGGCGUAAAGGGUGCGCAGGUGGCGGCGCGCGUGGGGGGUGAAAUCGCCCGGCUUAACUGGGCGGGGGCCUUCCAGACGGCGUGGCUUGAGCAGCGGAGGGGGACGUGGAAUUCCGGGUGGAGCGGUGAAAUGCGCAGAUAUCAGGAGGAACACCGGUGGCGAAGGCGGGUCUCUGGGCCGAUACUGACGCUGAGGAGCGAAAGCGUGGGGAGCGAACAGG